UACGGAGGGUGCAAGCGUUAUCCGGAUUCACUGGGUUUAAAGGGUGCGUAGGCGGUCAGGUAAGUCCGUGGUGAAAUCCUGCAGCUUAACUGCAGAACUGCCAUGGAUACUAUUUAUCUUGAAUGUCGUGGAGGUUAGCAGAAUAUGUCAUGUAGCGGUGAAAUGCUUAGAUAUGACAUAGAAUACCCAUUGCGAAGGCAGCUAACUACGCGAUAAUUGACGCUGAUGCACGAAAGCGUGGGGAUCAAACAGG
RNAcentral lists this ribosomal RNA (253 nucleotides) under uncultured bacterium. Its description in RNAcentral is "partial 16S ribosomal RNA". It matches the Rfam family "Bacterial small subunit ribosomal RNA", at positions 524 to 776 of the family's 1533-position model. The record is from RNAcentral.